GAUGAACGCUGGCGGCGUGCUUAACACAUGCAAGUCGAACGAUGAAGCUCAGCUUGCUGGGUGGAUUAGUGGCGAACGGGUGAGUAACACGUGAGUAACCUGCCCUUAACUCUGGGAUAAGCCUGGGAAACUAGGUCUAAUACCGGAUAGGAGCGUCCACCGCAUGGUGGGUGUUGGAAAGAUUUAUCGGUUUUGGAUGGACUCGCGGCCUAUCAGCUUGUUGGUGAGGUAAUGGCUCACCAAGGCGACGACGGGUAGCCGGCCUGAGAGGGUGACCGGCCACACUGGGACUGAGACACGGCCCAGACUCCUACGGGAGGCAGCAGUGGGGAAUAUUGCACAAUGGGCGAAAGCCUGAUGCAGCGACGCCGCGUGAGGGAUGACGGCCUUCGGGUUGUAAACCUCGUUCAGUAGGGAAGAAGCGAAAGUGACGGUACCUGCAGAAGAAGCACCGGCUAACUACGUG
RNAcentral lists this ribosomal RNA (466 nucleotides) under uncultured bacterium. RNAcentral describes it as "partial 16S ribosomal RNA". It matches the Rfam family "Bacterial small subunit ribosomal RNA", at positions 28 to 507 of the family's 1533-position model. The record is from RNAcentral.